UGGGGAAUAUUGCACAAUGGGGGAAACCCUGAUGCAGCGACGCCGCGUGAGUGAAGAAGUAUUUCGGUACGUAAAGCUCUAUCAGCAGGGAAGAAAAAAAGUCCUUUGGACUUUGGACGGUACCUGACCAAGAAGCCCCGGCUAACUACGUGCCAGCAGCCGCGGUAAUACGUAGGGGGCAAGCGUUAUCCGGAUUUACUGGGUGUAAAGGGAGCGUAGACGGCAGCGCAAGUCUGGAGUGAAAUGCCGGGGCCCAACCCCGGAACUGCUUUGGAAACUGUGCAGCUCGAGUGCAGGAGAGGUAAGCGGAAUUCCUAGUGUAGCGGUGAAAUGCGUAGAUAUUAGGAGGAACACCAGUGGCGAAGGCGGCUUACUGGACUGUAACUGACGUUGAGGCUCG
RNAcentral lists this ribosomal RNA (400 nucleotides) under uncultured bacterium. RNAcentral describes it as "bacterial SSU rRNA". It matches the Rfam family "Bacterial small subunit ribosomal RNA", at positions 355 to 755 of the family's 1533-position model. The record is from RNAcentral.